This 509-nucleotide ribosomal RNA is filed under the name uncultured bacterium. RNAcentral describes it as "partial 16S ribosomal RNA". It matches the Rfam family "Bacterial small subunit ribosomal RNA", at positions 28 to 523 of the family's 1533-position model. The record is from RNAcentral.
GACGAACGCUGGCGGCGUGCCUAACACAUGCAAGUUGAGCGACGAACCAGGGCUUGCCCUGGGGCAAAGCAGCGAACGGGUGAGUAACACGUAGGUAACCUACCCCGAUAACCGGGACAACCCGAGGAAACUCGGGCUAAUACCGGAUGUGCUCACUGGACUUCGGUUCAGUGCGUAAAGGAAGCUUCGGCCUCCGUAUCGGGAGGGGCCCGCGGCCCAUUAGUUUGUUGGUGAGGUAACGGCUCACCAAGACCGCGAUGGGUAGCUGGUCUGAGAGGACGAUCAGCCACACUGGGACUGAGACACGGCCCAGACUCCUACGGGAGGCAGCAGUGGGGAAUCUUGCGCAAUGCGCGAAAGCGUGACGCAGCAACGCCGCGUGGGGGAAGAAGGCCCUCGGGUUGUAAACCCCUUUCAGGAGGGACGAAGGUUCGGCAGUUAACAGCUGUCCGGACUGACGGUACCUCCACAAGAAGCCCCGGCUAACUACGUGCCAGCCGCCGCCGUAA